This 661-nucleotide ribosomal RNA is filed under the name uncultured bacterium. RNAcentral's name for it is "bacterial SSU rRNA". It matches the Rfam family "Bacterial small subunit ribosomal RNA", at positions 93 to 740 of the family's 1533-position model. The record is from RNAcentral.
CAGCGGCGCACGGGUGAGUAACACGUAGGUAACCUACCUCUGAGACUGGGAUAACCUGUCGAAAGACGGGCUAAUACCAGAUAAGACCACCGAGGUUGCGGCUUCGGCGGUAAAAGAUGGCCUCUGCUCACUUGGAGAUGGGCCUGCGCGCCAUUAGCUAGUUGGGGGGGUAAAAGCCCACCAAGGCGGAGAUGGCUAGCUGGUCUGAGAGGAUGGCCAGCCACACUGGGACUGAGACACGGCCCAGACUCCUACGGGAGGCAGCAGUGGGGAAUAUUGCGCAAUGGGCGAAAGCCUGACGCAGCGACGCCGCGUGGGUGAUGAAGGCCUUCGGGUCGUAAAGCCCUGUCGGGGGGGACGAAACUUCCCGGUGCUAAUAUCACCGGGACCUGACGGUACCCCCUAAGGAAGCACCGGCUAACUCCGUGCCAGCAGCCGCGGUAAUACGGAGGGUGCAAGCGUUGUUCGGAAUCACUGGGCGUAAAGCGCGUGUAGGCGGCCUCUUAAGUCUGAUGUGAAAGCCCGGGGCUUACCCCCGGAAGUGCAUUGGAAACUGGGAGGCUAGAGUACCGGAGAGGAAGGUGGAAUUCCUGGUGUAGCGGUGAAAUGCGUAGAUAUCAGGAGGAACACCGGUGGCGAAGGCGGCCUUCUGGACGGAUAC